Molecule: ribosomal RNA, 77 nt
Filed under: Listeria monocytogenes
Lineage: Bacteria; Bacillati; Bacillota; Bacilli; Caryophanales; Listeriaceae
Source: RNAcentral
CCGCACACGGUAGUUAAGCUUCUCUGCGCCAAUGGUAGUUGGGGGCGUCCCCCUGCGAGAGUAGGUCGCUGCCGGGC